AUUGAACGCUGGCGGCAGGCUUAACACAUGCAAGUCGAGCGGUAACAUUUCUAGCUUGCUAGAAGAUGACGAGCGGCGGACGGGUGAGUAAUACUUAGGAAUCUACCUAGUAGUGGGGGAUAGCUCGGGGAAACUCGAAUUAAUACCGCAUACGACCUACGGGAGAAAGGGGGCAACUUGUUGCUCUCGCUAUUAGAUGAGCCUAAGUCGGAUUAGCUAGAUGGUGGGGUAAAGGCCUACCAUGGCGACGAUCUGUAGCUGGUCUGAGAGGAUGAUCAGCCACACCGGGACUGAGACACGGCCCGGACUCCUACGGGAGGCAGCAGUGGGGAAUAUUGGGCAAUGGGGGAAACCCUGAUCCAGCCAUGCCGCGUGUGUGAAGAAGGCCUUUUGGUUGUAAAGCACUUUAAGCAGUGAAGAAGACUCUUCGGUUAAUACCCGGAGACGAUGACAUUAGCUGCAGAAUAAGCACCGGCUAACUCUGUGCCAGCAGCCGCGGUAAUACAGAGGGUGCAAGCGUUAAUCGGAAUUACUGGGCGUAAAGCGAGCGUAGGUGGCUUGAUAAGUCAGAUGUGAAAUCCCCGGGCUUAACCUGGGAACUGCAUCUGAUACUGUUAGGCUAGAGUAGGUGAGAGGAAGGUAGAAUUCCAGGUGUAGCGGUGAAAUGCGUAGAGAUCUGGAGGAAUAUCGAUGGCGAAGGCAGCCUUCUGGCAUCAUACUGACACUGAGGCUCGAAAGCGUGGGUAGCAAACAGG
RNAcentral lists this ribosomal RNA (755 nucleotides) under uncultured Psychrobacter sp. Its description in RNAcentral is "bacterial SSU rRNA". It matches the Rfam family "Bacterial small subunit ribosomal RNA", at positions 28 to 776 of the family's 1533-position model. Lineage: Bacteria; Pseudomonadati; Pseudomonadota; Gammaproteobacteria; Moraxellales; Moraxellaceae. The record is from RNAcentral.